Molecule: ribosomal RNA, 254 nt
Filed under: uncultured bacterium
Lineage: Bacteria
Description: partial 16S ribosomal RNA
Rfam family: Bacterial small subunit ribosomal RNA
Source: RNAcentral
UACAUGGGGUGCAAACGUUGCUCGGAAUCAUUGGGCGUAAAGCGCGCGUAGGCGGUUACUUAAGUUGGAUGUGAAAGCCCUCGGCUUAACCGAGGAAGUGCAUCCAAAACUGAGUAGCUAGAGUACGAAAGAGGGUCGCGGAAUUCCCGGUGUAGAGGUGAAAUUCGUAGAUAUCGGGGAGGAACACCGGUGGCGAAGGCGGCGACCUGGGUCGAGACUGACGCUGAGGCGCGAAAGCGUGGGGAGCAAACAGG